GGCGGCGAUCGGGCGGGGCGGGACAAAAGCGGCGCCCAGGCUGCCGGGGUGAGUGUGAGUGUGAGAGCGAGAACAGCCCGGCAGGUCCCGAGGCGCCGGCUGGGGACUCUACGCGGAAAGUUCCCAGUCCCCAGCCGCAGGUAAUGGGGAGGGAAUUGAGAGGUUCCCCUGUUUACAUCAGCAAUUGUGAAAGCAUGAUAGCAACAGCUGCGGUAUCCUCUCCCAGGAGCGGGAUUUCCAGUGAUGCUAACAUUCUUUUUCCUUUAAGGUAUUUUCCCUGCCACUGAUCAUGGAAAGAAAUCUUCGAGAAGGGGAAAAAGUUGCACACGGGCCACCGAUCGGCAGGGAUCACCUCAUUAAGGGACUCUAAGCGAGGACAGGAUGCGGGUCGCCCUCCCGGGUGCCAGCAGCACCGGGCCUUGCGAGGCGCUUCCGAUAUCCCUGCGCCUGGUCUGGCCCAGAGCCACGCAGCGGAGGGGAGCGGGCGCUGUUUUCGGCUUUUCCCCCUGACCUUUGGAGCUCUCUCCCCGCCGCGCCCCGCCCCGCCCCGCCCCGGGAUAGACGAGGGCCCAGCGCUGGCGGCGCCGAGCCGGGAACACAAGCGGAGCCCCGAGUGUGCACCGCUGCGGGUAUCUGCCAGCACGUUUGCACGUUUGCACAUUGCAGUUCCUGUGUCCCCCCUCCUGUUCCCCGGCCUCUGGAUCGGCGUGCGCCCCGGCGGAGCCGCCCGGGUGCCUAAGGAAGCGCUUGGCUAGCUCGUGCCCACUCGCGACGCGCGGGGCCGAGCGGGGCCACGCGGCGCAUCCGCGCAGCCAGUGCCUGUGAAGUUAAAACAGCCCGAACUCUUAGUGCCCGAGAGUGGAUUGCAUGCCAAUUCUCCAAGGCAAGAUCCCUAAAUACAUAUAUUUACAGUAACUCAUGGUCUGGUCGCAAGGAACACGUUGUUUAUUCACUGAAACAGCACGAGUUCAGUGUCCUUACGCUACAGGAUACAGGAUAGGAAGGUUCCCUAGCGGCGUCCCUGUAAUGAAUGAUCCAAGAGUAACACCACCACAACCUGCGAGGAAGGCACAGUGGUUUCGGCACAGAGGUUUGUGCCCGUCCCUUCAGUCCGGGAAUUCCGAAGCGCCGGUGUCCACCGGCGUGACCGUGGAUCGGGGCGUGCUCCUGCGAGUCCGGCGAGUUCGUGUCCACCGCCUGGCCGCCCGCCCCAGAAACCUGGCUCCGGGAGAUGGGUCCUGCCUUCCAGUGGGCAGAAGGAAAGGAUGCCAGCAAAAAUGGCUAAUCCUCUUCCAGCUGCAGUAAAUUGACGACUGGCCAAAGCCAAGCGAAACCCGCUGCAGUUAAAAAGAUUUUAGCUUCACGUCUGGGGCUGAGAAUGGAGCGGCAGUAUAUAAAACGACCUGUGGAUCAAUGGAAAGGAGAUCGUAGUGUCUCCGAAUAUUAAUACGAUGUCCUCUAUACCUGCAUUGGAAUUCCCUGUGCGUUGUAACAGUGUUCCAAGAGGAAGCUUUUUAAACAUAUGAAAAUAAGAAUUGCAGAUCUUCUAAGACUCAUUCUUGAGCAUAAGGAAGGAAGGACAGAAACUCCAACAGACCAAGUUCCUGAACAGUGUCCUGAGCUCCAGGCAGGGCUCUUUUUGGUUAGGAAAAGAGAAGACUCACUGAGCUCCUAGAGAAAUGAAGAGCUGGGUGUUGGCCUGGUCAGGGCUUCAGUGUCAAAUAUCUUCCUGUUGGAAGAUAGGAAACAGGAAGCAACCUGUUGGAAAGAUCGACCUGGGAUUUGUAGUGUCAUCAGCUGGGAUUGUGAACUCUGGAAGAACACCAGAGAGACAGAUUUCAUCAUACAAUGUCAAGGAGAACAUGCUUUCUACAGGUAUUUACUGUAUAUUGUACUGCUUACCAUCCACUAUGAUGUCACAGAAAGCUCAAGGAAGGGAUAUCAUCCAGACUCAGUAAAUUCACAACUUGUUUUUCCCAUAAUAUGGGUAUGAAUGAGUGUAAUAAAUAAAAAAGUAUUUUAAAUGGUGUUAAUUUGAACCAACGUAAAUUGCAGAAAUCUUUCCAAAAGCUGUUUUCUUAAAGUUCCUAGUAUUUCCUCCCAUGUUUAGGAUAAGCAUACCUGCUUCUCUUUCUUUCUCUCCAUUGUCUUCUGAGAAAUGCCUAAAAUCCACAAAAGUUGAAUACACUUUAUGGUUUAUUCCUCUUCUCUUCUACUUUGAUUCUCAAUCCAUUGAGCUUAGAUUGUAGCCAAUGUAUAAAUCAAUAGGUUGUAAAUGCAAUUUACAUAGAUUAUCCUGUUGUUUUUUGGUUAUAUGGUCAAGUGUGGGCAAAGUUCAAUAGGUUCCAUUUUUUUGUUCAGUGUGAAAUACCAGAACACCAAAAGCUCUAGAAGAUUCUUAAGGAGAUAUGUAAAUCUUUGAAGAAGAUACAUGAGUACAUGUCAUACUGUUGAGCCAAUGAAAGUACAUAAAUCACAGCUGGAGAGAGUUUCUUUAAUUAGAGAAUGUCCAAUUUACCACAUGGAGAAAAGUAUCUCCUAAGUUUCUUCAUGCCUUCUCUUGGGACUCUUUGGAAUAACAAAGUAACUACUUUAUUUAAGGGAUUUUCCCUUUUAAGACCCUGCUAUUCUAGUUUCUAGAUAAUUUCAUAUUCUUGAUGAAUGUUGAUUUGUCUCUGUUAUGGCUUGUAUCUAGAUGUCCUCCAAAAGCCUCAUGAGGUCAUAGGUGGAGAGUAUCAAAGGUGGCUGGAUUAGGGUGUGUGAUAGGAUUAAGGCUGAGAUGUUGGGAUUAACGGUGCCCCACCCUGGGUGUGGGUGGCACCACCCAAAAGAUGGGUAGCCUGGUUAGAAUAUAAAGGAACAGAAAGAAGUUGCUUUGCUAUUUUGCUGCUUUGCUGCCUUCUACCUGCCCUGCUUUGCCAUGGACUAUUUCUUCUCUGUGAUGCCACUCUGCCAUGCCACCCUGUCUUGGACCCAGCUGACAAUGUACUGAAAUGUCUACAAACUGUGAGCUGAAAUAAACUUUUCUGCCUUUAACUCUGGGUGUUUGAUAUUUUGUCUCAGCAAUGAGAAAAAUAACUAAGACACAUUCCAAAUGAAUAAGUAGCUAUCUUUCCAAUUUCAUUUAAUAAGAGAAUUUGAAAUCUCUUC
RNAcentral lists this long non-coding RNA (3150 nucleotides) under Heterocephalus glaber (naked mole-rat). Its description in RNAcentral is "lncRNA (ENSHGLG00000034849.1)". The record is from RNAcentral. Lineage: Eukaryota; Metazoa; Chordata; Mammalia; Rodentia; Bathyergidae.